UAGUGUCCUACAUAUAAACUUCAAUGUAUGUAGUCAAUUCAAGGAUUCAGCUCAGGAUCUCUUUGCUUUCCGAUGGUAAAGUUUUAGUUUUCCAGUAUUGCAGAAACCCCUCUUUUAGGGCCAACAAUUGUUUUAUAUUCUUGAAUUCAACAUAGUGGUUAAAUAGUAUCAAAAUAACAUAGCCUUGCAUGCCAUUUGAAGACAAAAGUUCAGUAAACAUCGUUCAUUGGAAAGUGUUAUUUAUCCAUGCUGCAUUAUGUGAAAUUCAGAUUCCGGAUAUUCUUCUGAAUGAAAGUAAUUAUACUUUUGAAAUGUCCUAGUAAUAAUCUGUAGGUGAUCCUGUUGAUUAGUCUUCAAUUGUAUGUUUAACAUUAACUUGUGCAUGAUGAAUUUUGUUCAUGUAAAAGGAUCAAGUGUCUCUAAUAUUGUCUGUUGUUCUGUGGCAGGUGGUUUUGAACUUGGGAUCUCUCCAAAACUCACAUGAGGCCCAGAUUAGCUGUUUGGGUUUGUCAGCUGAUGGAAGUGCAUUGUGUACUGGAAGUUGGGAUACUAAUUUAAAGAUAUGGGCUUUUGGAGGGCAUAGGAAAAUAAUUUGAGCAGCAUAGUUCUCAUCUCAUAUUGUCUAUCCUCAAUUUCAGCUCUUCUCACACCCAUUAUUCUCCAUGGUUCUCAUAGUAUAUCCUGUGUAGCUUUCUUUCUGUUGUUGAUCAAGUUACUCGGUUUGAGGAACUAGGAUCCAGUGUGUUGCUUGUUGUAAACCUCGAAUUGAAAAACUGGCCAUUUUAAUAUUGGGAAAAGUAUACAUUUCUUUAGAACUUGGGGCCGGAUAAACAGUCUUGGUAUGUAGGUACUCUCACACGAUUUUAAUGUUCUUUGCCUGGGUAUAUCUCACCCUCGGUAUGUAGGUACUCUCA
This is a long non-coding RNA of Rosa rugosa (rugosa rose), 914 nucleotides long. RefSeq lists it as uncharacterized. The record is from RefSeq and is a predicted model, not a curated record. The transcript has 2 exons. NCBI's taxonomy places the organism in Eukaryota, Viridiplantae, Streptophyta, Magnoliopsida, Rosales, Rosaceae.